RNAcentral lists this transfer RNA (59 nucleotides) under Thauera sp. 27. It matches the Rfam family "tRNA", at positions 15 to 71 of the family's 71-position model. From Rfam's summary of the family: Transfer RNA (tRNA) molecules are approximately 80 nucleotides in length. The record is from Rfam by way of RNAcentral. Lineage: Bacteria; Pseudomonadati; Pseudomonadota; Betaproteobacteria; Rhodocyclales; Zoogloeaceae.
AUGCCGUGUCUUGCGGACUUUUAAUCCGUUGGUCGCUGGUUCGAAUCCAGCACGGCCUA